Molecule: long non-coding RNA, 598 nt
Filed under: Cyanistes caeruleus (blue tit)
Lineage: Eukaryota; Metazoa; Chordata; Aves; Passeriformes; Paridae
Description: lncRNA (ENSCCEG00000024410.1)
Source: RNAcentral
CUCAGACUCACCGGUGUGCCUCAUUACGUUCACUCAGGAAAUCUUGGAAAGAAAUAUGAGGAUGUCCCUGCUGCAUCUCAGGGACAGGGAGUCAGCUGUAUGUGCUCUUCAGCUGAUCUAUAUGGUGUAACUUCAGCACCCAUGAAACAGCAGCUUCCCUGAGCAGGUGAUUUUUAUGGUGGUUGGCAGUUGAUUUGAUGGACUGAUUGAUACCACAGCUUAGAGGACAUACAUGUGUUCUGUAAGCAGCCUGAACUAGUGGGUAUCAGUUUUACUGUGAUGCUUUAAACCAUUCAUUUAUUCAGGUUUAACUGAAGCAGAGUUCAAGCAAUUCUUUUCCUUUGUCAUCUUAUGGCAAGAAGAGCAUAUAGAUAAAAGGGGCCAAGAUCAGUACUUCAGAGAACAAGGUCACAACCUGAUUGCCUGGUGCUACGAGGCUUCAAAUUACUGCAGCAGCUCACAUUCCUGUCUUUAGAAACCUUCCAUCCCAAAAUGGAGAUGUGCAAGAGAGAAAACAUUAAAUAUUAAACUGUUAGAGUUUAAAAGUCCCUUUUGAAACUGUUAUCUUACAAGUCAGUUAUGAAAACGCAAACAUGAU